ACGAACGCUGGCGGCGUGCUUAACACAUGCAAGUCGAACGGGUCUGCCCUGUUUUUUGCGGGGUGGGUCAGUGGCGAACGGGUGAGUAACACGUGAGUAACCUGCCCCUCACUUCUGGAUAACCGCUUGAAAGGGUGGCUAAUACGGGGCGUUCUGGCUGUGCCGCAUGGUGUGGCUGGGAAAGAUUCACUUUUGUGGUGUUUUGGUGGGGGAUGGGCUCGCGGCCUAUCAGCUUGUUGGUGGGGUGAUGGCCUGCCAAGGCUUUGACGGGUAGCCGGCCUGAGAGGGUGGGCGGUCACACUGGGACUGAGAUACGGCCCAGACUCCUGCGGGAGGCAGCAGUGGGGGGUAUUGCACAAUGGGCGGAAGCCUGAUGCAGCGACGUCGCGUGAGGGAUGGAGGCCUUCGGGUUGUGAACCUCUUUCGCCGGUGAAGAAGGUCCUGCUCUUUGUGGUGGGGUUGACGGUAGCCGGGUUAUGAAGCGCCGGCUAACUACGUG
This 499-nucleotide ribosomal RNA is filed under the name uncultured bacterium. Its description in RNAcentral is "partial 16S ribosomal RNA". It matches the Rfam family "Bacterial small subunit ribosomal RNA", at positions 29 to 507 of the family's 1533-position model. The record is from RNAcentral.